UAUCAUCAGCUACAUGAGGAAAUGAUUGGGAAUCUUCUGAAAUCAAACCCACAUGUGGCGAAUGAGCUGCUUGAAUACAAGGGCCUAGCCAUUGCGCCUAUGGAUUUUGCAUACAUUGUUCCUCAAAAUAGCUUGAACCCAUGCUCCAGUUUAUGACGUUCAUGCGCCAGAAGGCUACUCUAUCUUCUUCUUCUUCUAUUUCCCAUUUGAUAAAAGGAAUGAUAAGUCAGGACUCACGAUCCGUUUAAUCGAAAUUCUAACAUCUUGUGACAUGGGGGUGUAAAUGAGUCAACCCGAGCUCGAGCUCGUCUCGUCUGUCAAAAUGUGAGCUCAAGCUCGGCUUGUAGUGGUAGCAGCCAGCUCGCGAGCUUGAACUAAAACUUCAAUUUUAUAUGGGAGCUCACUGGAGAAGUUAUUGGUGGUCGGAGGAGGAAGAGGAGGAUGCAGCGGCGACUCACCUGAAAAUGCAUCAAAAUAACUAGCAUUAAGUUAAUCGAGCCUUCUUGUGUGCCAACGAGCCGAGCCGGGAUGAGCUCAAGUUUGAGCUGGAGCUCUCGUUGCUCGAUAAGCUUGUCUCUUGAGCUCGUUAACAAGCUGGUUCAGCUCAUGCACACGCCAAAAUACUACUCAAUUUCCAUGUAUUUACAUAUCUAACAUAUAAAACUGAAUUUUUACUUGCUUGCCAC
Molecule: long non-coding RNA, 686 nt
Organism: Phalaenopsis equestris
Lineage: Eukaryota; Viridiplantae; Streptophyta; Magnoliopsida; Asparagales; Orchidaceae
Exons: 3
Source: RefSeq, a predicted model, not a curated record